AGUGAGAGGGUAGUGAGCCUUACUUUCUGCCCUUUUUCCAACUUGUUGAUUACGGCUUUUUUUGUAUUUGCGGGUGGGUUGUGUGUGUUUUUGGGUUGAGUGUAUUAAGUGUUGGGUGAAAAGCCUUGUGUUCGCUAAAUGAUUUAUGGGAGGGAAUUUUUCCAGGUUUUCAUUUUAUUUCAAACGGACACUGGAUUUAUUUGACACUUGUGUCUAUUGGCUUAUUGGUAUUGGCUGGGGAAGAGAGGAAGCAGUACUAUCGCUAUGGAUUGUAGGACAUAGAUGUUUUAUAUUUUUGCCAUGUGUAGAAUGGUUUUAAUUUGCCUGUCCCGAGUUACUUUUCUCUUGUCUGAGAAAUUUAGUGGGGGUAGUAAGGCUGGCUGUGCUUUUCCUGUCUUGAGCUGCAAAUGUCUGUUACUUUCUUGCACUUGAAAAUAAAUGUCGGUAUUUGAUAAAGUAAGUGCAUUUUGUGGGAGACUGAGCUGUCAGUUUUUUUUUUCUUUGACUAGCUUAUGUGGGGUGGUGAUGGGGGACGAUUUUGUAAAAUGGUGAAAUGAGCAGUGACUGUGGAAGUUUGUGUUUAAAGCUCUGUGAUGAUGAAAAGAAUGUUGAAAGAAUUCCUUUUCAUUUUGAUGAAGGUCGUAAACUGCAUGUGAUGUUAAAACGAGUUAACUACUUUAGAUUUAACAUUCAUAAAUACUUGGAUAAAAUGUCAAGACUCAUGUAGUCUUUUGGUCAUCUUUUAAUUUAUGUCUGAAUUUGUUUCAUUGGCGUUAGAGUUUGAAGUUAAACUGUUCUUGGUGUCAUUUAAUGAACAGGCAUUGGGUGUGUGUGUGAGACAAGAAUGAGUUUUUGGUGGAUCCUUUAGAACAUUACAGUUGAUUGCCAAAAGUCUCAUUUUAUCAGCACAUGGAAGGUGUUGACUUUUAAAAAAGGAGUGAGUGAUAAUUUACUUAUAACACCCAUUGUAAGUCUGCAAAUCAGUGAUUUCUAGUCAUUUUAAAGAGUUGUGCAGCCAUCACGGCAACCCAGUUUUAGAACAUUUCCAUCAUGUCAAAUGGUUUCGUUAUAUCCGUUCUGUAAGUCUAACAGAACAGAAUGGAGAAGUCAUGGGCAACAGGUUGCUUCCCUACCAUGCUGAUGUACCCUGAGCCUUUCAAGGUAGAAAAUAAAAGUGCAUGUUAGAAUGUGUGUGUAAGGUGGCAAGUGGCUGGGGGAGAAACACUAUCCCUUUCUUAAGUGGUAAAGUAGUAUUUCCCAUCCUGCUUUGCCAGUCUCAAGAAAGAGGAUACCGGCUUUUAAAAGUAGAAGAAAAAAACUACAAAUGCAUGAAUGUACCCAACUGUGUGUGUUUUUUUUUUCUUUGUAUUUUCCACCUUCCUACACUUCCAGCUGAUGUUUUUUUUGUUGUGGUGGUGGUUUUUUUUUUUUUUUUUUAAAUGAAGAGACAAGGUCUUGCUAUGUUGCUCAGGUUGGUCUUGAAUUCCUGGCCUCAAGGGAUCCUCCUCCAUUGGCCUCCCAAAGUGCUGGGAUUUGCCCAGCCCCUAACUGUUGUUUUGUUAAGUUGCAUUUCUCAAGAUUGGGCAGAGUAGCUUCCUAGACUUGGUGAUUUAAUUUUACUUUUCUUGUCUUGUUAUUUCUCUGCAUUCAAUGUUACCUUAAUUGUAAAAUAAAAAUUACCAAGACAUUGCUGAAUAUAGUUGUUGAUUAGUGUUCCCUUGAUAGUAGUCCUGCAUUUUUACUUUCAGCUACUGCUUAAUCACAUUCAUUUGCAAAAUUGGAAAAUUUUUACUUUGGCUAAUUACCAUAGGUUUAGAACUUUCUGGUCUUCAGCUCCAGAAAUGUAUCGCUGUGUUGAGAUCAUGUUUUAUUUCAUCCAUGUUUAUUUGAAUACUGCCCCUCUGAAAAGCUGACUGUUUUUGGAGCUUUUAUACACAAGUAUGAGUGAGGAAAUUACUUUAGGUGUAGAAUAAAAUUGUGUAGAAAUAAUUAUCUUUGAAAAAAUUUGGUAUUCAGGAUAUUGAAUUGGAAGUGUUGAAGAAGCAGCUGUUUUGUGUGUAAUACGUUUCUCUUGUUUGAGAAUUUACCAGUUUUUUGCAGUUGUAGCUUUGAACUAUCCAUUCCCCCCUUAAAUUUAGAUACCCUGACAACCAAAAAUCUCUUGAAUUGUCAUGAAGUACUUUAGUAGAAGUUUUAUGGAAAAACACAACAUAGCUAUGAUCUUUGCUGGAAGCUUCAAAAAGGCAUCAUCGUGUGAUGCUUUUUAGGUAGAAAAACUCCCAGAAAUAAGAUAAGGUACCUACACUGGGCAAAGCCCAAGCCUCUUACUCAUGUUUCCUGGUAAUCCACAGCAGUGGUUUUGCUCCUUUCAUGACAUUGUUUUUGUUGUAGUGUUUGUCUUUCAUAAAAAUUCUCCAUAAAAAUAUAUAAAAAUUACCUGUCUUCCAAAUCAAACUUUUAUCAAACCUUCCAAGCUGAAAGCUGGUACAAUUUAAGAUCAUUUUACCCAGGAACAGAGUAAUAAUUUAUUUUGUGUUUACUGUUUCAUUGGACUUACUGAUUUAUUGGUGGUGACUUGAUCUUAUGUGUACUUGGUGACCUUAAAGUAAAUUACCUGGGUAGUUGUGGUCAUUUGACAAGUUUUUAUUGAGCACACAGCCAUUUGCGCUCUUGGUGUACAGUGGUAUAAAGACAGACCAGGUCCCUGUUCUUACGGAGCUUAAAAUACUAUGGAAAGGAAGAGAAAAUAAACUAACAGAAAAAUAACAAUUUCAGCUGGCGACAAGUGCUACGAAGAAUUUAGAGAAGGGUAAGGAACUACAGAGUGAUGAGAACUGGGUGGAGUGACUGCUUUAUAGACAAUGUUGAGAUAAUGCAUUUAAUUUUUUAGGAAAAAGUAAUGCUACUUCCUUUUGGAGCCGGGGAUAAUUCUUAUGUAGGUUUACCUGUGCCAUUUAGCUCAUUUGGUUGGGGGACAGACAGCUUUUAGAUUUGGAGCCCUUGUGCAUAGGCUGCUAAACUUAUAAACUUAGUUCCAUGUUGUAGACUAAACCUAGGCCAGCUAAUUUACUAGUAUUGUUAGUCAUUAGGGUGGGAGAUUAUGAAUGGAUUCACUUACAUAUUAUUUAUUCAUGUGGCAUAUAUUUGUUGUGUAUUUCAGUAGGUGCUGAAGAAAAUUCCAGGAUUAAGAAAAACUUUCUCAAGUAGCUGUAGUUUACCAAAAUAGUUAUCAGAACUAAUUUGGUUCAUUAGGACUUUGAGUAAAUAGUAGGUCUCUCGUGUCCUAAAUGACUUGAGCUAACACAUUCUGCAGUCUUUCUGGCACUUCUUUUCUCUUUUGCCUCAUCACCCAUGCUUUUUCUCUUUGUGGCAUCUUCUGUGUUACUUUUCAUAACUAGUACUCCCACUUCCCUUUUUACCUAUAGAUACAAACUUUUUCAACGGUCGCAUACAUAGAAGUGCACAAAUCGUAAGUAUAAGGAUUUGAUAAAGUUUUGCAGAAUGAGCAUAUCUUUGCCACUAGCACCCAGAUUGAUUUUUUUUUUUUUUUUGAGACAGGUAUCUGGCUCUGUUGCCCAGGCUAGAGUGUGGUGGUGUAAUCACAGCUCACUGUAGCCCCUACUUUGAGGCCCAGGUGAUACUCUCACCUCAGCCUCCUGAGUAGUUGGGACCAUAGACAUGUGCCAUCAUGCCUGGCACAUUUUUAAGGGCUUUUUUUUUUUCUUUUUGUGAGACACGGUCUCCCUAUGUUGCCUAGGCUAGUGUCUUAUUUCUGGGCUCAAGCGAUCCUCCCGCCUCAGCCUCCCAGAGAGUUGGUAUUAUAGGCAUGAGCCACUGUGCUGGCUUGCACCUAGAUUCUUAAAGAGAACAUUACUAGAACAUUACCGGAAGCCCCUUGUGCACUGUCCCCUGUGGGCCACUUCUCCCACCCCAUUCCUGUCUUUUAAUACUAGAGAUCAGUUGUGCUUGUUUUUGAAAUUUAUGUGAGUGGAGUAUACUAUGUAUACAGUACACAGUAAAUACUGUAUGUACCACUGCCUAUAUACAGUAUACUCCACAGUGAGUGAAACAAGCCAGACUCAGAAGCAUACAUACUGUAUGUACCACUUUGCUUAGUAGCCACAGUGUAUGCACCAUGGUACAUGCAUAUACUUCUGAAUCUGGCUUGUUUCACUCAUGGUUAGGUGUGCAGGAUUCAUCCAUGUUGUUGUGUGCAGUUCUUGCUUAUUUUACCAGUCUGUCUUAUCCUGAGAAUAUCUUUGACAUUCAACUCUGCAUGCAGACCCUUCCUUACACGUUCUAGAGAGAGGACCUGUCUUCACCCUGUGUUUAUUACCCACAUACUUGAACAGCUGUUUCCUCCAGGCAUCAUUAUGCAAAAGGAAUGAAACCCGGUGUGUGCAGCUUUUUUAGAGGACGUAAAAGGAGUCAGCUCUUGCCUCUCAUCAAUAGUAUUGUUUAUCAGUCAUUUCUCUUUUGAGGCAUUGGUUGAAUAAAUGGGAAAAUUCCUGCUUUCAAGGAACUUAGCAGACUUGUUGACAGAUAAGACCAUAAGAAGAAAGCCAGUGAAGUACCCAGUGAUGUGAACGCCAUGGUAUGAGCAAGUACAUAAUAGAGACCACAAGUGCUUUUUAGAAGUUAGAGAUAGUCAUUCUCUGGGGCUUCCUCAGGAAAAUCCUCGCUGAAUCUGGGAUCUAAACUGGGCCUUAUGAUUCUUGGAUAUAAGUUCCCUACUCCCCGCCCCACACCCCCUCUAAAAAAAAAGUACUAGAAGUUACACACAGAACUGUAGCCUUGGAGGCUGUAGGCAGUGCAUUUAAAGUACUUCUGGAGUGGUUUUGAGCUUCAGAGCAUUGACACACUUCCCUAAAUAACUGUGACAAUUCUUUCUAUUUGCUGUUGCCCAUCGGUGAUUUCAGUGGCCAGUAGUCAUACUGGAAAGUCUGAUAAUAAAGCAGGGGAUCAGUCAUGUGGUACCAAACCAGUUGUGGGGAAUGUUAGAUGUGUUAAGAUGUGAUUAGCAACGACAUUCCUGUUUGUAAACUGGCAUCUAUGGCGGUUUAAAAAUGGUGGCAAAACCAUUUUGAGUAUUGUUGGAAAUGUUAUCUGUUCUGCCGUGUUAAUAUACCUAUAAGUUGGUAGUUGCAUCUUGUACCCUUGAUAGUCAUACUUUGUACAUUGUGUAUGCCACUCUUCUGUUGAGUAAUUUGGAUUAAUUACUUUGGAGAUUGAAGUCUUGACUCAUUCACUUCACUCAUUUAUUUAGCUGUAUUUUCAGUUCCAUGCAAUGAGUGACACAGACUGUGCUGCCAAAAAGGAAUUCUCAGUAAGGGCAAUGCACAUAAAUUACUGUGUUACUCAGAAAUCAUGAAUAGUUGAGAUCACAAGGAAAUCUACUUAAAUUGUCCUGUGGUUGGGAAAAGAAACUAGUGGAAGGAAUAUGUUAAAAAAGCAUCUUUCUUAAAAUGUAUUCAAAAUAUUUUUCUCUACAAUUUAAGAGCAUUAGCAAAUACAACCUAGGAUGAAACUUUAACAGCCUUUGAGAGGGACAAGAAAUGAAAUUAAGGGUGAUAUAUGAUGCCAGUAUCAUCGGUGUAUUGGGUCUCAUAAUACAUACAAUACAUGGUAGUUAGUCAUAGGGAGAAAACAAACCUGGUGGCUGCUUUCUAAGAACAAAUCAGAUUUCUUGUGUAGCUAUGUGGUUUAACUGUUCUUGCCCUUCUUUUACAAAACUAAACAGAGUGCUGGUUCUCAAACUUUAGCAUGUUAUCAGAAUCACUUGGAAGAAGACUUCUUCAACACAUUGCUGAGUCCCAUUCCCAGAGGUUCAGAAAAUUAGAUGUUGACAUUUUCAAAGUGAACUUAAGAGAAGAUAAUUUCAAGAAUUAACAUUCUUGAAAUGACAAAAUUACAGAGAUAAGAGAACACAUUAGUGGUUGCCAGGAGUUAGGACUAGUGGCAGGAGGGAGGGAGAUGGAUGUAACUGUAAAAGGGUAGCAAGAGGAAGAUCUUUGUGGUGAUGAAGACCAUUUAAAUUAGAGGAGGACAAUAAGAUGUCACUUGAGGAGUUACCUUGCUCCGAAUUAUCCUGAGGUUAUUAGCCUAUUCAGAUAAGCUAUAAUGUAAAAAGUUAACAUAAGCCUGUAUAGAUUAGAUGAUUUAUUUUGCUUGUUGCAGUGUUUCUCUUUAUAAAGUUGAGUAUUCUUCAUCCUGUCUUUUGGAUACAUAUACCUAUAAAAACGGGCCAAGAAUAUGCAUUCUGUGCUGACUGCC
This 6273-nucleotide long non-coding RNA is filed under the name Homo sapiens (human). RNAcentral describes it as "HSALNT0312491". Lineage: Eukaryota; Metazoa; Chordata; Mammalia; Primates; Hominidae. The record is from RNAcentral.